Molecule: ribosomal RNA, 563 nt
Filed under: uncultured bacterium
Lineage: Bacteria
Description: bacterial SSU rRNA
Rfam family: Bacterial small subunit ribosomal RNA
Source: RNAcentral
CCUACGGGAGGCAGCAGUGGGGAAUCUUGCGCAAUGGGCGAAAGCCUGACGCAGCAACGCCGCGUGCGGGAAGAAGGCUUUCGGGCUGUAAACCGCUUUCAGCAGGAACGAAAAUGACGGUACCUGCAGAAGAAGGAGCGGCCAACUAUGUGCCAGCAGCCGCGGUGAUACAUAGGCUUCAAGCGUUGUCCGGAUUUAUUGGGCGUAAAGAGUUCGUAGGCGGUCGAGUAAGUCGGGUGUGAAAAUUCUGGGCUCAACCCAGAGACGCCACCCGAUACUGCUUGACUUGAGUUCGAUAGGGGAGUGGGGAAUUCCUAGUGUAGCGGUGAAAUGCGCAGAUACUAGGAGGAACACCGGUGGCGAAGGCGCCACUCUGGAUCGAUACUGACGCUGAGGAACGAAAGCAUGGGUAGCAAACAGGAUUAGAUACCCUGGUAGUCCAUGCCGUAAACGGUGGGCACUAGGUGUGGGUUUCUAUUAACGAAAUCCGCGCCGUCGCUAACGCAUUAAGUGCCCCGCCUGGGGAGUACGGUCGCAAGACUAAAACUCAAAUGAAUUGACGG